This 253-nucleotide ribosomal RNA is filed under the name uncultured bacterium. Its description in RNAcentral is "partial 16S ribosomal RNA". It matches the Rfam family "Bacterial small subunit ribosomal RNA", at positions 524 to 776 of the family's 1533-position model. The record is from RNAcentral.
UACGGAGGGUGCAAGCGUUAUCCGGAUUCACUGGGUUUAAAGGGUGCGUAGGUGGCUUGAUAAGUCAGCGGUGAAAGCCUGGAGCUUAACUCCAGAAUUGCCAUUGAUACUGUCGAGCUUGAAUCAGGUGGAGGUGGAUGGAAUAUUACAUGUAGCGGUGAAAUGCUUAGAUAUGUAAUAGAACACCAAUUGCGAAGGCAGUUCACUAUACCUGCAUUGACACUGAGGCACGAAAGCGUGGGGAUCAAACAGG